Molecule: transfer RNA, 95 nt
Filed under: Phaeosphaeria sp. MPI-PUGE-AT-0046c
Lineage: Eukaryota; Fungi; Ascomycota; Dothideomycetes; Pleosporales; Phaeosphaeriaceae
Description: tRNA-Glu
Source: RNAcentral
UCUAACAUCCCACAGUGGCUAGGAUUUGUCGCUCUCAUCAGAGUAGUUCGCUCUCAAGCGCCGACAAGGCCCGGGUUCGAUUCCCGGUGUCGGAA